RNA transcript from Metopolophium dirhodum (rose-grain aphid), 7079 nucleotides. RefSeq lists it as uncharacterized. The record is from RefSeq and is a predicted model, not a curated record. The transcript is spliced from 15 exons. NCBI's taxonomy places the organism in Eukaryota, Metazoa, Arthropoda, Insecta, Hemiptera, Aphididae.
GACGCCACCGCCGGCCGCCGCCACUAACCGUAUUCCUAGUCCGUGAACUAAACAUUCAAACGUAAUGGAAUAUAAUUUAAUCAAUUAUAAUAGAUAUAUUUUUUUUUAAUUGUCUGAUCAAAAAUUCUGAGCUUCAAAACGUGUAAAUGCAUGAGACUAUGACGAUAGUAAUGGAAUCUAACCAAUAAUAACAAUGAUUAUUGUGUUCUAGUCCAUCGCUUUAAAGUAGGUACGAAGUAUGUGCCGGCUAUGAGACGCUGACUGUUCUCAAUCCUCAAAUGUGAAUUAACAUAGCAAUAUUAUGUAAAAUACUGGGAUUCCAUUCAAGAACUAGAAGAUAACAUUAAGCCUUCUCGAUCACAAACACGAUCAUAGUUCGUAAUGUCGACCAGUUUUUGACAAAACGGCAAACACGGUUAUUUGAACACUGCACUGAGUACCACUGUCUAGCUGUCAGAACAAAGCUCUACACUUAGCAUAAUGGUGUUUGACAUCUGAUUAUUAUUGAUCUCGUGCUAAAAUUGUGGUAUCUUAUUGUUACCUACUACAACUUUUUGGACUCGUUAAUUUGUUGCACAUUCUACUCGAAGCAUUGCGGUUUUGUGUUGUGACCAGUUAAUAAAGAAAUUGUUUCACAUCAUGCCCGUUGAAAUGGAAUCUGAAGUUAAUUUUAUGAAAACUCAUAGCAUAAUAGAAUGCGAAGAACUAACAAAGAUAAACAAUAAUCGUAAAUCGCUUAAUCAGAAAAUUACACUUGGAUUGGCCACCAGAGAAGAAUUUUUGAAACAAAUAAAAAUUGAAUUAAAUAUGCUGGAUACGUGUCAACUUAAAAUUGAACAAGAACUGAAAGAAAACUCGGAGUGUCUUAACACUGAAAUACUUACCAUUUUAUCAAAUCGUAUCAAUGAUAUGUACACCAAAAUGUUUCAUUUGUUUCCUGUUUUAAAGACUUCACUGUCAGAAUAUAUUGAGUUCUGUUCAAAUAAUAUAUUAUUUAUUACUAAAUGUAGCAUCAUAUUGAAUACACUCAUGUCGAGAUACCAUAAUGACCCUGAAGUGUAUUUAACUGCAGCAACAUAUGCAUUUGAUGACCGAAAUGAUAUUGAAUCAGCUAGACGAUAUUUUGCAAAAGGAUUAAAAUAUCACAAAAAUUGUAAAAAUUUAUAUGUAGAAGAGUUCUGGGUAGAAGUACAACAUUUAGAAAAGACUGCAGGAGCCUCACUUCCAAUUGCUAUUGCAAAAUAUAGACGCCUAAUAAAACGUUUUGAAGGUGAUAUCGAAUUUCAUUUUAUAUUAUUGGACAGAGCAAUAAAAUUAAGUGCAGUUAGAGAACUGCAAUGCAAUGUAGUCAGAGAUAUGGUUAAGAAGUAUAGGCAUAGUGAACUAAUGUGGCAAAAAUUAGCAAAAAUUCAUUUUGACGGUUUUAUCUAUCAUAAGGAGACUGAGCAAUUACGCUAUGAUAAAAAUUAUAUUAAUGGUAUUAGAAACUGCAUUAAAACCUAUGAAGAUGGAUUAAAAGAAAAUUUACCACUAGAAAAUAAACAUAAGUUAUGGAACUUUUAUAUUGAUCAUGUUAUAGAAAUUCGAAAAUCUUAUCGCAUGAAAAAAGAAACAAUCAGAAAUUUUAUGAAUGAAACAAUGGAAAGAGCCUUUCAAGAAGCUCAUGAUAAUAAAGCAUUAUAUAAAGCUGAACAAUACAUUUAUUGGGCUGAUAACACAAUUCAAGAUUACGAUAAAAUAAUGAGAAAAGCAGUUGAGGUGAUAAAAGAUGAUCUUGAACUCUGGAUUAAUUUAAUAUCAUAUUAUUUGAACUACGACAGUCUUGAAAUGGGUAUUGAAGCUUUUCAAGACGGUGUUCGGGCUUUAAAAAACAAAUCAAUGCCUUUAUGGGAGAUUCUAAUUUUAUACAUGGGGAACACUCAUCCAAAAUUGCUCCAACAAUUAUAUCACGAAGGAUCACAUUUUCCAUUUCCGGAAAUCAAUUUUAUAAUCAGGCCUAAAUAUUUAGAAUGGAACGUUGUUCACAAUGGAAUACUAUCAACUCGUGAAUUGUUCAUUAAACUCAAAGACUUAAAACCAGAAUGUAAACAGUUGUAUAAGUCCAUGAUUUCAUUUGAACAUAAUCAGACCUCAGGAUUUACCAAAUUAAAAACUAUAAGAAAAUUGUAUAACGAAGUAUGCAAUACUUUUGGCGACACAGAAAUUGAUGUAUGGACCGAUUGCAUCCGUUUUGAAUGCAUCUAUGGUUCUCAUAAUUAUGUGAAAGAAAUUUACAAGGCAUCAUUACGGUGCUUGGAAUCAGAUUUAAAAAGUACUAUGAUAGAAGAGUUUAAAAAACUUAAGAAGGAAUUCUUGGAGUAUGAUCCGAAAGAUGAAGGAGUUAUUGUCAUUAAUGAUGAUGAAUAAUUUUAUAGUUAGGGAAAAAAAUGACAGGGUAUGUGCGUGUUUUUAUAUUCAUGUUCUUAAAUUACUAUUCUGUGCACAUAAUUUUUUUUUGAUAUUUGAUAUGUUUUAUUAUGUUAAUGUAUCUUUAUUAUUUACAAUUAUUUUUUUGUAUUUUUUAAAUAGCCUAAGCAUAAAACAACAACAUUUUAAAUUUUUGUUAAUAAUUAAUUAUUAACCCUAAAAUGUAUUGUUUAAUGGCAUAAAAAUAUUUUUAUGAAGUAGCAAACAAUCAAAAUAAUGCCAAAAUAAAAACAAUUAGACGUAUGUUUAUAUUUUACACAUAAAGCAAAUCAUAUUUUGAAAUUAAAUUAUUUUUUUUUAUUUAAUAAAUAUCAUUUCACUUGACCUUUAAAAGAAAUGAACUGAUAUCAGCGAGAGAGAGGAUUAGGAUUUAACAUUGUUAGAAAAAAAUAGCUGCACUUUAUUUUCAUAUGCACAGGCACAUCUGUUUCUAUCAAUGUUGGCAUUUAGUAACCUGUAUAAGGCAGGGUCGGACUGGGUACUAAAUUACUAUUUCAUUUUUGGAAAGUUUUUCACACAUAAAAUAUUAUUAUUUUAUAGUUUAAAUAUUUUCUAAAUCUGAGUUAAUUUUGUAAUAGAACAAAAUGUUUUUCUUUUUUUUAUGGAACUAUUUCAUUAUAGUUUAUAUAUUACCUGCAUAUAGAGUAUAGAUUAUUUUGUAUUCUAUGUAUUUUAAAUACACUACCUAGAAGUACUGAUUAAAAUUUCAGAUUUAGUCCUUCAGCUUUCUGUCUUAUACUGUAAAUUAAAUUCUUAUUACUUCGAGUAUUAAUAUAUUAUUUUAAUAACUGUGUUACUAUUAAACAAUAAUUGUGAUUCAUAACUCGUAACAGUGGUAAAUUAUAUUUUGGAUGGAUUUUCACUAGCCAGUAGAGAUUUUGAGUGUUUAGUUAUAAUAAUAAAUACUCCCAAAGUCCAAACUCGUACAAUAUUAUUAAUUGGAGCUGAUAACAUAAACAUCAAACACAUAUUUAGUUCCCAUAAAGCCCCAUCAAAUAGGCACUAGUGCACUGCACUACUUUAUAAUUUUCUUUAAAUAAUUAGUUCAUGCUAUUAUGUUUUUAAAAUUAUGAAGGGCCUCAUCCCAUACAGUUACACAGACAUGAAGCCUCACUGGCUAUUGCUAGUCUAGAGUAUACGCCAGUCCGAUCCUAGCAGCAAGGAAUGGUAGAUGUGUUCAUAUAUUCUUAUUUCUUAUGUCCGUGCAUUAAUCAUUAGUAUCUUACAUGAAUGUGGCGGUGCAUAAGCGUAGCCUGAUGAAUUUAUGUAGACAUAAAUAGGCAUAUGUAAACAACAUAAAUUCUAAACAUUUUACUAAAAAAAAAUUUACUAAAUGAGGCUGCUAAACAAUAUUUCAAGGGGGCUGUAGCCCCCUUAGACCCUCCCCCCCAUUCUACGCCUAUGGUGCGGUGGUUGUGUGUGAUUUAUAUUCCGAUCACUCUGUCUGCCGCGCUACGAUGCAACGAAUUAUAUGCAGUUUUUUGUUUUCACCUAUUCGCGUAAGUCGUACGAAACUGCGUCGGAAUAUAUAUAAACAAAAACUUUAAAAUGAUAAUACCGUGAAUACCAAUGUCUAAAUACCAAUAUACUAAUAUCAAAGAUCAUUCUUCCGUUUUCCGUAACCAGUGUUUUCCAAAAGUUUUACAACCGGUAGGUAUAACGCAAUAUUGACACUUGAAAUUAGGCUCUAUUAAUUUUUUUAAUUAAUUAAUGAAUAAAUCUAUAAAAGGAUUUAUUUCCAAAUAAUUUGGAUCAUUAUUUUUUAACAAUAUCCCUAAUAACAAAAAUCAUAAAACUCUGUAGGUACCAUGUAUUUAUUAUAAUUUCUGCUAGCACUGAUAUAAGGAGAAAAUAUCAAAUAAUUGUUCACCACCGCCUUCUGGUAUCAUCAUUUAAAGUAUUUGGUACAUUAUAAAUUAUAAUAUUAUAAUAUCAUGGUUAUAGAUACUAUGGUUGCGAAGGCCGAGUACUAAGAUAGAACGGGCUGGAAACGAGCUGGUGGCCGUUUAAGGUUUAGGGGGUCUUGUACGGGUAAGGGAAACGGUAACUAUGAAUCGAGUGCUACCUAUAUUCAUCAUCUAGUUCAUAAUAUUAUUUUUGUAAAUCUUAAAAGGAGGCUUCAUCCACACUCGCGUUGUCUUACAAACGCAUGACAUUGCAAAUUGUACAUUUACAGAAUAAUCUAUUUAACUCUAUAGGUACAUAAUAAUAUUAGAAUGACCAAUUAUAAAAUUUAAAAGUAAGAGAAUUAUCUAGUGAGUCUCAUAGAUUUUUUUUAAUAUUUUAAUUUUAAAGCGAGGUAUGAAUAUUUUAUAAUGUACAAACAAUUUAAAAUUUCAAAAUUAUCAUAAGUCGCAAUAGUCGCAUUAAGAGGACGCCGCACCCGCAUACCUAUUAUGUUAUCUCCGUCUUACAAGUGCGUAACAUAGCAAAAUUGUACGCUUAGCAGAACACGUGUAGCUCCGUUAAUUUAAAUAUUAGAAUGAAUUCAAAUUUAGAAGUAAGAAUAUUAUCCAGGCAACAGAGGCUUUUUAUUAUAUUUUAAUUUUAAAGCCAGUUAUGAGUAUUGUAAAAUUGUAAAUUGUUAGUACAUCUUAAAGUACUCAUAACUCGCUUUAAAAAUUAAAAUUUAAUAAAAAACCUAUGUCAUUGCCUAGAUAAUAUUCUUCUAAAUUUGAUAAGAGGUCAAUUCACUCAAAUUUUUAAACCAACAGAGCUAAACGUGAUCUGCUGAGCGUACAAUUUGCUCAACCUAACCCACUGAUUUUACCGGCCGAAUUCGGUGGUUUAACCUUAGUUUAACGAUUGUAAUACGGGCCCUUAGUCCGUGUUGGCAACCAUAUUAUCUUAAAUCAUGGUCGUGACCCAAAAUAGGCUGCUGUGCAACCGUACUAUUUAUAAAUUAUAUAGAGGAGUUUUUCCGUAUAAUAAUAGCCGAAAGGCGACCAACUGCUUCUGAUAAUUCAGUAUUUUAAUCGCUCAUCCCGGCGUGGAGCAUGGUUAAUAGCACAUUGGCGUGAGACACAAACGUUUUUGACCGACCGGCGUCCGUUAGGCCUCGUUAUAUAUCUUAUCGAUAUAUGGGUAGACGACAAUGGAGAAGUUCGAGGUUUAGUUGUCGGUACCCGCGCCAUUUGAGGCGAACAACCCGGGUGCGCGGUGCUUACGUGCGUCGCCAUAUUACUCGUCACAAUAUGCCAUAAAUGAUCGCGGUGAGGCAGUGGUUCGAGCCUUUAACGCGUUUGAACAGGUUUGGACUAGCCGGGCCGCCGAUAAGAGAGCGAUGGAUCACGUUGAAGUCACCAAUUUGACGAGAGGCACGACAGUUUUUGACCGGCCGGCGUCCGUGUGGACAUUCGGUCUGGUGUUCGGGCCUCGUUAAAUAUUAUCUUCUCGAUAUUUGGGUUAUAUGACUGGGUCGUCAGUGGAGGUGGAGUUCGUAGUUUAGUCAUUGCCCAUUGGUACCUGAGCCAGUUGAGUAAUAACCAGAGUACGCUGUGCGCAGUGCGCGGCGCUUAUGUGCGUAGCCACAGCACGAUUUAGAGAAGAAGAUUAUCUUCUCUACAUCGUGGUUAAUAGAUACAUUUAUUGACCGUGGCGUGACACUAUGGCAGAAGUACUGAUAAUAUUAUAUUUUCCAGGACUGAUAACUGAUUUGUUACGUAUUUUUUCUUAUAUAAUAUUUGUAUUUUGGACUUUUGGAAAUGAUAAGAAGAAAGAAGAAAGAAGAAAGUCUAUCUAAAAUCGAAAACAAUAUGAUAUGCACACAAAAAGCAUCAAAAAAAAUGUAGCCAAAUAUGGUUCAUUCAUUUUGAUAGGAUUUGCUUCAAUGUGUACUAUUAACACCAAGUAAAUAGUUCAAUGAUUGAAACGUGAAACUUUUUCACCAUCCUAUUCAAUAUUAAUACCACCAAAACAAACAACAACUUUUCACUGGUAUCUGAUCAUGCGUCAACUAGCUAAUGUAUGGAUACUAUAAAUAUUCUGGGUGAUGUACCAGUUGAUUCUUCUGUCACAAGGCGUUUUUAAUAACAUCACAAUCGCAAGACAUUUAAAAAAACUCUUAUUCAUGUUAGAGUUCAUGAUUGAUAGUGAAGAUGAUAAACAAUUACUUAAUAGUUGUGAUAUUUAUUUUUUAAUGAUUUAAAUUUUAGUAACUUCUCCUUAAAGUGUAUAAUUUAUAUUGCUUAUAAAUGUUUUUUUUUUUUUUUUGGUUUGUACUUUUGUUAGGAUGAUAAUCUCAAGUUAAAUGCAGUAUUUGUAUAUCUGCUCUUAUGGGCUCAAAUGAAAAUGUAUGUAGGUACCUAAUUAAUUUUUUAAUUAUUAAGAUAUUGAUGAUAUUAUUUAUCCUAGUAAUGAUGUAAUUUCAAUUUAUAUUAAAACAGUCUAAUGUUAAUAAUUUUAUAAAGAUUUAAAAUUAUAUAAAUUAUUAAUUAAAACAAAAAUGUUAUUUUAUUUAAGGCAUUGGUACAUUAAACUUCUGAUUAAUGGACAGCAAAAUAUCAUAAUUAUUAUUACUAAAUGUUAUUUUUUAAUUUUAAGUUUUUUUUUUCAUUAACAUGAAAAAACGAAUAUAAAAAAAAAUUAUAAAUAAAAACCUAAACCUGUACAGA